This 160-nucleotide small nuclear RNA is filed under the name Marchantia polymorpha subsp. ruderalis. RNAcentral's name for it is "U1 spliceosomal RNA". It matches the Rfam family "U1 spliceosomal RNA". From Rfam's summary of the family: U1 is a small nuclear RNA (snRNA) component of the spliceosome (involved in pre-mRNA splicing). Its 5' end forms complementary base pairs with the 5' splice junction, thus defining the 5' donor site of an intron. The record is from Rfam by way of RNAcentral. Lineage: Eukaryota; Viridiplantae; Streptophyta; Marchantiopsida; Marchantiales; Marchantiaceae.
AUACUUACCUGGGCGGGGCCCAUCGCUGAUCCGGAAGGGCGAUGACCUACGACGAGCCUCGCCAUUGCACUUCGGCCGGGCAAAUCGUAGCAUUUCCCCAAGGGGAAAAUGCACGUCAUAAUUUGUGUCAGCGGAGGGCUCGCGUUCGCGCGGCCCUCCA